This is a long non-coding RNA of Acinonyx jubatus (cheetah), 15985 nucleotides long. RefSeq lists it as uncharacterized. The transcript has 6 exons. The record is from RefSeq and is a predicted model, not a curated record. NCBI's taxonomy places the organism in Eukaryota, Metazoa, Chordata, Mammalia, Carnivora, Felidae.
CACCUAAUUCUUAAGGAAGGCUUGGAGACAUACAGGUUAGUUGGGUGCACAGGAGAAAAGAAAAUGGGUUGGUGAACACUCAGCCAGGCUGCCUCACCAUUCUAGGUAUUGCCAGAAGGAUUUAACAUACAGAAGCAAGUGCUUACAAAUCCCCGGAAAGGCUGGAGGCAGGAGAACUAGAGGCUGCCAUUUAACAUUCGGCUUUGAGGUCACACUUUUUGCCAACUGCUACUACGUCUGGUGUCAUCCUUGUACCCUCCAAAGUGGUACCAGCCAUCGGCACGCGGAGCCCCUUUGCUGCCAACCCUCACCUCUGCUGGUACCCACUUAACCACUGGCACACUUGCAAAGCCUUCCACCUUCCAAAGCUUCUGUAAGUGGAUCUUGUUCACUGAACCUGCACGGACCCAGAAAUGCAGCCAUACCGGAGACUGGGAGAUGUGGUUUCAGUCUUCCUUUGCUGGGAUACAGGGAAGAUGAUACAAGUUGGAAUUGAUACCAGAGCCAAUAGACUGUGGCACAGCAACCUUAUUCGGUGACCAUUGCUUUUCACCAUUCCUGCUGUUCCCAUUUUGUCUCUCGUCACUGCUUUUUUUUUUAGCUUGUCCUUCAUCUCCUGGUCAUUCAUCACUGUUUUCUUUUUAAUGCUCACUCCCAGUGGUCGCUUUGCCUGAUGCUGCCAUAAUGGGAGAGUUUCUCCUCUGACAGUGGUCAAUCUGAAUGAACUUUCAAAGGGAAGCUGGCUUUUGCAACUGUAUAGUUCCUCUGUCAGACUCCAUCAGAGAUACUGGAAUGGUACCGACAUCAAAGGUAAAUCCAUCCUAGGGAUCCAGUAGUGUCCUAGGAGAGGCUCCUAUUUCUAUUGGUGGAACCAUCUAGAAAGUUCUAGAACUUGGGGUAUACCCUGUUUCACAUUCUCCCCUUGGAUGAUGUUUCCCUCCACUGGCUUUGAGGGUCCUUGACUGACAGGCUGACUUUUGGAGGUGACGCUUUACCCAGAACUCCUGAGGUGACAGUGCAGAUAGGGACACCCCUCCCCCACCCCGAGGGCCUUUCACCAGGCUCUGAUCUGCUCCUGAAGAGAAUCAUGGUAAGGACAGUAGCAUGGUGUUGCUUUCCAAUGAAAACAUAGCUUGUCACUUUUCUCAGAGCCAUCCUGGGCGGGGCUGCACCACAAUGAGUUCCACAGCCCCCCUGAGACCAUCUGCUGCUUGCUGGAGUCCGGGUGGCAGAUUUUCUAGAAGGAUCUCAGAAGUCAAUGAGUGAAGGCAGAACUGCCCUGGAGAGGAGGAAUUCUGGCAGCAUAAGCUCAGGGAAUUCGUUUGGGAAAGAAAGUUUAUAAUAACAGUGUUCUAGUUACUGCUGAAUAAAACAUUCACAGAGCUUUUGUUCUCCCAGCAGAAAAAUAGAAUACCCUGGUGGCAAUAGAGUGGUUGUUCUGUUUAAAUGUUGUUUUUAAUAAAAAUCAGAUGGUAGCAGUCAUUUGACCUCUACACUGCUCCCCUCUGGGUCUUGUACGGGGCCUCCUCUGGGAGGACACCGUGUCCUGAGGCUGUAUGGAGGCGCUCUCCUCGAAGCAGAUGGGGAAACAGCCAUUUGAACGAAUGGGGCAUGAGCCCAGAGAAGGUACAACCAGCUGCAGAAAGACCAGUAAAUAUGGUUGUUACACAUCUGGUAGGUAGUUCUGCAGUGACACAGCUAAUGGUGCUGGUAUUUAAACGGCCAUUAGUAGACUUUGGCUUCUGCGCGCCCAAUUAAGAAAUACCCCGGAAGCUCUCUCUUGGUGCUGCUCUGCUGUCGCCUGGCCGCAGAGCUCCGGUUUGCAUGGCCAUCUUCAUUGCCUGCAGGGAGAGAAACUUCAUUUUUGUCAACAGCACAGAGCAGAUUCUGGAGUGGCCCCCGCCAAGGGUGGGGCAUCUCAGUAUCCUAGGGAAAGAUAGGAUUCGGUAGGCAGAGGGGGAGAGGCUAGGGCCUGAAGGUCCCUGGGUGGGGGAAAACACAAAUUUUAAAACAUUUCUCCUGGGCGCCGCUGACCUCCAGCAAACUCCCUCGGGCAUAAAGUUCCUCUUAAGCGUGUGACAUCACCUACUCCCCCUCAGGUUUGCCUCAGGAAUUUGACAAAAGACCUAACUAAAAAUAAGUAGACCAUACAACACGCGAGGCACAAAGAACAGUACGGCCAGAGACCAUCCCUCAUGCAGUGGAAACGAGUCAAUCAAAAUAGAAUGUCUAGUGGGCCUGGGUGGUUCAGGAGGUUAAGCUUCCAACUCUUGGUUUCAGCUCAGGCCAUGAUCUCACGGUUCGUGGGUUCGAGCCUCACAAUAGGCUCUGCGCUGACAGCAUGGAGCCUGCUUGGGAUUCUCGAUCACUCUCUCUGUCCCUCCCCCGCUUGGGCACACACACUCUCUCUCUCUCAAAAUAAAUAGAUAAACCUAAGAAACAAAAAAGAAAGGGAUGACUAGACACGUAGAGUUAUCUACCCAAUAAGGGUAGAACCUGUGAAGAAACAAGGGAGAAGGAAAGGGGGCCCCCCAAACCCUAUAAAACAAGUCCCUUGCCUAUAGUCCGUGGGCAUUCACUUUCAGAUGCCCCCUCUCUGUAAAGAGAGCUUUCCUGUGAUUCUUACUUUCUGAUCUUAUUCUAAUAAACUUUGGUCUGUUGCGCCUAUUAUUCUGUGUCCACCUGUUCAUUCUUCCAGCGACAAUGAACCCUGGGUAUUGAGGUAAAAAAUCCUGCAACCCCUGGGGCUAUACCUCCGAGAGGUGCUGCUUGGCCCCCUCCUACGUGGGUGAGGGUGCCAGCCUGGCACAUGAGGCACGCUCAGCGGCUUGGCCCUCAUUAACCCUGAAUCGACAACACUUAGAGCCAGUUAAUCUUAAGGAUUCAGUAUUCGCCAGUGCUAGGUUAUUCCCUUUAAAUCUCUGAAAAGAGAGGAAGGGGGAGGAGGCGUUUUCUCUUCCGAAAAACCUCACCGCAGGGGGCAGCUUGAGCAGGCUUCCUUCUACCUUUUGUAGGAUUCCCAGGUCCCAGGCUGCUUGGAGCCACUCCUGUCCCUCAGGGGUUCCUUCACAGUUGCAAUGCAAAUAUCUCUGGCCCGAGAAUUUAUUCAGAAUGGUGCCUGCAAAGAGCUUAAAGGCUUUGAGGAAGGUGGGGCCCGGUGUAGGGACAUCUCUGACUGUUGACAGUUUGCAAGGAAAGAUAACGAACGGCAGGAAAGGCCACUUUACCUACUCUGCUGGCCCCAACCCCGUUUCUUUUCUUCGCGUUUCAUAGGUUUAUUACUGAAAACCACCACCACCUCCUAAUAUGCUAUGUGCUGCCCAGGAAAGAGCCAUGACACGGACCCUGUUUGCAGAGCCUUAUUCCACGGAAACAUCUUGUCUUGCACAGGCCGGUCCAGUUUGUGCUGACGGUCCUGAUCAAGGAGACCCAGGCUUCUGCUUUUACGCAGCAAGGUGGUGACAACCAGAAACAUGAGUUGAUUGGAGGAAAACCAAGACAAGCCUAAAAGAAGUCAAGCUGCAACACAGUGCAGACUGAAGCGCAGCACGGGGUCCCCGGUUCCUCCUCAGCCCUCUGAUGCUCACUGUGAUGGCUGCUUUUCACCAAAGCCUCCGCUCCCUGGCAGCCGGAGAGAAGCUUCGGGAAGCUGGUGUGGUAGGCUGGUCUACGGAUGGCCCAGUGGCCUGCGUGGAACCUUUUCGGGUAUAGUAUGCUGAAGAGGUGGCCGCGUGGUGGGAGCAGCAUGUGACACACGGGGGGGGGGUAGGUCACACUCACCUCUACUUCCAGCCCCGGCAGUGAUGGCUGGUAACUUGGCCUGGCUGCCUUCACAGGGGAGGAUUCUCGGAAUCAGGAAAGGUGGCCAAGCAGAGGUUUGGGCGGUUUGCUCCACUGGACUGAUCUGUGUUCAGAUCCCGCAGUGUUUGGAGAUCUCUGUACAAACACACACAGACAUAUGACCUCUUCCUCUCUCUCCCACCCCCACGCCCCCCACCCCCCCAGACACUGCCAUCCAUUGUGUUUUCUAUAUAACAAGCUCUCGACAUAUGGAUGGGAGGUGACCAUGUGGCAUAAUGGAACAAGGGCUGGUUUGGGAACAAUCAAACUCCGGUUCCAGUCCCCCCAGCUGUGGGAUUUACUAGCUGUGUUAGCUUGGUCACGUUUCUUAAACUUUCCGAGUCUCGGUCUCCUUAACUAUGACAUGUGGUACUUGUGAGGAUUGAAAAUAACUCAGAUGAAAUAACUCUAGCCCAUAGCACUAGGUCUGGUCCACAGCAUCGGUCAAGAAAUGGGAAUCACCAGGAGCUCCUCAUCCUUACUCCAGCUCUAGCAUUAAGAACCUUUCAGUUGAGUAGGGAGGCUUGUGGAAGAGGAAAUGUACUCUCCCCUUGGCUGAGCGACCGUGCCCAUGGGCAAUCUUUUACUCACUGUCUGUUUUCAUAUUCACCCGCCUCAAUUCACCCAUCUCCACGUACUCCAUGGGGCCUGCAUGUGCCUGGACCCUGGCUGGCUAGAUGUUACUGGUUUACCAGGGGCCACGUGGCUCGGAGAGAGGUUUCUGUUCUUUGAGGUUCCUGCAGGUGGAUCCUGUUGAGAUUUAACGCAGGUGUUUGUCCCUCAGACACCGCUGAGGGCCCUCUCCUCUUUCUGUUUCUCGCUGUCCCUGAACAGUAAUAGGGUAACAUUUUCUGGUCCCCGGAAAACAGCCUGCUCUUGGCGUGUUUCUAUUGUGCAUCAUCUAUGUUUGGCCUUGACCCUCCUGUGUUCUGCACUGUGAGCAGAAUAUCAAGUGGGCUGGAGAAGCAAGCCAGGCACUGCCAGCCCAGUGUGUGCAUUGUCAGGGGGAAUAUCAUGCUACGUGCACAGAAAAUAACUUCCUUUUCUCAUUUUAUAAAUUAGCUCAGCGAUCCCUGAGAUUAUGAGCCUUUAUUCCCAUAGACAGUGCUUUAAAGGGGAAAAAGAAACAAUAACAAUGGAAUCAGAAUACAGUUCUCUGGGCAGUUCCAAUCAGGAAGCGUGGGUAGGAAUACGGUCUAGAGAUUCUUACAGCACCCAAAAGCUCUCCAUCAUCCCCGAUCCCACUUUCUCUCCUAGCCUCACCCCUACUUCGGCUGCUUUAUCACAAAAAGCUCUGAUGAAAAGCUUGUGAUCUCAGCUGGGGCUGCCGGGCUGGGGAGAAGAAAAGGGGUCCUCUUUCUAGAGGAGAAAGGUCAUGCAAAAUGCUGGAUUCCUGUGUCUGGGAGGUAGCCGACCAACCUUUUCAGAUACAGGUUUGUCCUCUGUCAUAGAAUUUGUCAUAGAAGCAGUGACAAUUUUGUCAUAGAAGCAGUGAUAAUCAGAGCGAGGAAUGUAUAAAUCAUCUGGACCUACCCCUACAGAUGAGGAAACUGAGACCCAGAGAAGGUAAGUGACUGGGCCGAGGUCCUCACUCAGCUGACGAGGGGCUGGCCUGGGACCCCCGUGAGCCUGACUGCACUUCUCAAAGCAGAAGGGUUCCCAGGGGAGAAAAAGGCAUCUCUUUCGCAUCUCAUUUUAUUCCAAAGUACAAAACCCAUUCCUAUUUUUUCUUAAUCUACUUGUAAACUCUAAUGACUAGUUCUAGUGUUAAAUACUUCACAUAAUUUACUUAAUUAGCUAAUUGCUAACAAUGUGAAGUCAUUUUCUUUGACCUUUUAUAAUCCCCGUUCCUCCCACAGAAAACAAGGUCCUAUCAUCAGUGUUUUGGUGACAUUGGCAUAAAAAGUGAAUGGCUUGACAUAAAAGCAGAGUCUAGUUCUGGAAUGUCUGGCUUUCCUCCACUAAACACCCGGUAUUCCCUUAUAAAGUAGAGUGUGUGUGUAUGGGGGAUGGGUGGGGGCAGCGGGAGGACAUUUUUGAAAUUAGGAGCAUUACCCCCACCUGUAUAUUUACUGAUUCUAGAGGCGAGUUAAUGAAGUAAGUUUGAAAGAUUGGGACCACAGAGACCUAACGUCGAGUCUCACCUCUACCCUGUCCUCGCUGGAUCGCUUUGAACAAAGAACCUGGCUCCAAGGCUCUGUUUGACUAUAAUAUGGAUUUAAUAAUGGGGCCUAUUUGAUAGAGUCAUUAUGAGAAUUAAGUGACUUGAUAUGUGUAUAAAGUUUCUAAGACUGGAUGUGGCAUGCAGUAAGACUUCAACCAAUGUUCAUUAUUAUUAUUGUUAAUAAAUACUUACAGGAGUAUUUGAAGGUUCAGAAAAGUAAGAAGAAGGAAUGCUGCCUCGAUUCCCUCCCUCCGAGUUUGCUACUUUUCCACCAUGGAAUCAUCAUGGUAUCACAAUAGGACUGUUGGAAAUGGCCCUGACCGGGGAAUCCUUCGGGAUCUCCUCCUCAGGAAGCCUCAUGUACUCUGGUUCAGAGACGCUCAAGCCCGAGCCAACCUCGCAAGCCCAGUUGACCUAAUUCAGUCUUCUGACCAGUGGAAUGGCAUCCAGCAUCACGUCCAGCUUUAAAAGCUUUCAGAAAAGAGACCUCCAGAGCUCCCAGACCUAUCACUGCACAAGGUACUCUGGACGUUAAAUUAUCGGAAAUCCGACAGUUUAACACAGUCUCCGGGUCAUCUGUUUGCCGGGGAGAAGACAGUUGAAUAUGGGUGUGAUGUAUGCCGAGACUGAGACAAAUGUCUUCCUUUAGGCAUCAAAACUAGGCCUCUGGGCUUUGUGGAGGGAUCUGUGGUGGCUCCCUGGGCUGGUGAAGGGCCGAAUCUCUGGCGCCUGAAGCCUGACUGGUCCCAGCCUCCACACCUCUGCACAGAGCUGUCCUCACAGUGAGCUGCUGAGCUGACAGCUGUCUCUUUCGGAGCCCUUUGGGUCUGCCGCCCCAUGCUGUCCCCUUGAGAGAGAAGCAUGGAAGCAGUUGACAGUCUAUGACUAAGGAGAAGGCUCUCACCAGAACAGACCAUGUCGGCACCAUGAUCUCAGACUGCCUGCCUCCAGAACAGAGAGAAAAGAAAGGUCUGUUGUUUAUAAACCACCCAGUCUAUGGUACUUUGUUAUAGGAGAUGGAACAGACUAAGACACCUUCCUUGACACCUUAUUUCAUUUUGUUUGUAUCUUUUUAUGGCGCUUACGUUAUUUUGCUUCUGUUAGAGCCAUUUGUUAGUGUGUGUACUUGUCUUAUUUUAUUCUCCAUUUUCAUCCUUCCAGUGGCAAAAAUUUUGAAGGCUGGCACUAUUUUAUAUGUGACUUUUCUAUUACUCGCAGUCUACUACCUUGGAUAUAAUGGGUGCUCAAUAAAUAUUUGUUAGAUUUAAUUCAAUAGAGGUAAAAAUCAUGUCAUCUUCUCUAGAAAAAUGUGCUGGCCAUGAGAACCAUUGUUUACCAGUGAAUCUCCUAGAACUUUCAUGUAUCAAUUUUAAAGGGCUUUGUAGCCUAUGAACACUACAUGAGGUGGGCUAAAAACAUUUUUAGCCCACCUCACAUUUUAAGCUUUUCCUUCUGAGAGGAAAAAAAAAAUCGCUAGAUUUAUUCAUUUAUUCUCGGAAGAUUGUACUUAGAGGAGGAAAUGAGGGUUAUGGCAGCAAUCCAAGCAUCCUGAAAAUGCGUUGGAAUUCCCCCCAAAUUGGAUUUACCUUUCUUCACACCACUGAUGCUCUCUUGGCAUUUUGAUCACUAAAGACAAUAGGAUCUCCAAGCGAUUUGGGGUUUCCUGGAGAGCGAGUUUUGGUUUAAUUAGGUCCCACUGUAUGAACUGCAGUUUGAUUCACACUGGUGGAGAGGAGAAGGCAUUCUCUCUCCUUGUUUCUUCCCCACACCUCCUCCUCCAUGUCUUUCUAAACCACAUCUCCUUUCCACCUAUCUUUCCUUCUCGUUGCUUGUCACCCUUCGUAGGCUGUUCAGUUACAACUUAGUUACUUCUGUUAAAUCUCUGCCUCUAAAGCCCAUACCUGUUGUAGCUUCUCCUUGUCCGCACCAAGUGAUCUUUCUCAGGGAUGAGGAAGGAGGGCAUUUAGUAUGGUACAGAUGCAUUCUGUAAGCCACCCUAGAAAGAACUAUCACUAUUCAACGAGUGUUCUCUGGUGGUUUAGGACACGGGGAAAAUUUAGCAACCCAGGAUGCCUGGGCAUCACUGGGCAGAAAUAAUUGCUAAUUAGUAUCCUACUAGCUUGGGAGCAUUAAUUGGCUUUGGGGGAUUUGCUUUCUAGACCCAAAGUGUAUUUUGUUCAUUUUAGCUUGCUAUAUAGGAUGAGGGAGGAAUAACAAUUACUGAAAUAGUUUCAUUUCAGUAAUUCAACCUAAUGAAGACUUGUCAUUUCAAUGAUUAUUCAGUAGUUGGUCCUUGUUUUUUCUGCCAAGGUUUUAGAAAAACAAGCUCAGAUAUUUCUCAAGCCUGAGAAAACACAGCCUUUCCUUUAAAAUAAUUUAGAGAAAUUUAUUUUAUUCACGGAUACAGGAAUGCUCACAAAAGAAUUGUCAUCCUAUGUGAUUACAUAAGUAGAGAGAAAAGGAAAGAAGAUAUCUUUUGAAACAUAUCAUUUUCAUUUCAGAACACAUCAAGCAAUAAUAUAAAAUAAAGUGCCUCAAAUUGAUAUCUUUAAUUUUCUCCUAGAAAGAAAAUUUGUCAGCUAUUUUAUGAUUUAUUGAGGCUAAAGCCAUACGUGAGGACAAGUUUUUAUGAUUAAUUAAAUAAAAUUACUUGAGCAUAAUACUCAUGAUGAUAUUAUCUUUAAAUUAAAACCCACUUGAAUAAGAUUGAUGACAUUUUCAAUCAGCAGAUUAAUUAAACUCUUUUGUUAAUUACACAUAAGUCAAUAUGUUUGGAUUAUGUAUCAAUCAAUAUGCUGAAGCAACAUCCACUUACUUUGCUCUAGAAAACGGCUUUGCUGAUAUUUUUUUAGCAGCUUAUUUUAGAAGUUAGCGUUCUUUCAUUUUCUUUAUACCAGAGGUCUCAAUAUUUAGCAAAUUUAGAUGUGAAAAUAAUUGUCACAACAUUUUUUUUUUGCUUUUUUUUUUUUUUUUUUGUCUUUGCGAAAGUCUUUUUUUGGGCUGAAAUGAGCUUUUUUUUGUUUAACAUUCUGGGUUUUUUCUAAUUUUAUUAUUAUCUUUUUAUUUGAGAGAGAGAGAGUGCGAGUGGGGGAGAAGGGGGGGAGAGAGAAUCUCAAGCAGGUUCUACACCCAGUGCGGAACCCAACGAGGGGCUCGAUCCCACGACGCUGCGAUCAUGACCUGAUCAUGACCUAAGCCAAAAUCAAGAGUCUGAAGCUCAACCUACUGAGCCACCCAGGCGCCUCUGUGUUUAACGUCCUGAAGAACUGUUAACCUGUUUCUGUACCUUACUCUACCUUUGACAAUUUCCACCCCUCGCCCUCCUGCCCAGUCCCAUUACUAGAGCUUUAAUUACCGAUGACUUCCUAUUUGUCUUUGUAGGUAGAGGUGGGCGGGGCUGGCGGAGGGGGGGGUGGGCGGGGAGGGUGACUAGUGCUUUGUGACAGGAGACACAGAAAGGUAGUUUACUUACCAUCUUACAGAGCUUAGGAACCAGUGAUAAGCCGACACACCGGUAACUGUUUUGAGUGCCUCUAUGAAGUGCAGGAAAACUAAAUGCUGUGGUUGGACAAUCACCCAGAGCCUCUUCUCCUCCUACAAGUUUCCAAGCAUUUAUUUUCUGUAUUUUUAUUCACUGGGCCAGAUUCUUCUCUCAGUCUGGCAAGAGUUUACAUGCUACAAAUAGCUACCCUUGAAUGAGUGGGAGUUUUCUAGGCUCUCAGAGAAGCCAAUUUGGGGCUGUUAUUUAGCUCCUGUCAAAGCCUCGCUGAGACAACUGAUAUUUGAGAAAUAGAGUUUAUAGAUGUACAGUCUCCUAUGUGGGCUAAAGCUAUAUCCUUGAUCACCAGAAAGCUCUAAAUGUGGUGCUCAUUAGUUUACCCUUUCCCAGUGGAAGUUCUUUCAUGAAUCAUGUUUUAGUGCUAGGUCUUUAUCUUUUUUUUUUUUUUUAAGCAUUUAAUACUGGAAACAGUGAAGUGAAGAAUAUUUCUGAAGCUUCUGUAAAAACUGCUUAAAGAUACUGCCCAUUAUGUUGUUCAAUGUUCCUUGCGCAAGAACUCAUGUGAUGAAUUCCUUUGAAAAUUUAUUACCAGGAAAAAGUUUGUCUCUACUGCAGAAGUGAAAGUUUUGCUUUUUUUCAGACAACAAACGCCAUAUCCUUUAUUGUUUCUCUUUAUGCAUUGGCUGUCAGGAAGCUCAGAAUUAAAGUAAAUGCUGUGUCAUUAGAAGAGAGAGUAAGAAAUACCAGGCAGUUUCCAGGAGGAGCAUAGGAGUGAAUCUUUGUAUUCCUGUUAUCUGUUCACUUGCUGAUGCAAUGGACAUUUACUAAAGGGCCACUGUGUUCCAGACACCAUGCCAAAGGUUGGGGAGAAGAUGACGGUCCUUACCCUGAAAUGGAUUAUGGUCUGGGAGGGGGACAAGAUAUAUACAUGAAUGAAUCUGCCAGUGGGCUGCAGGAGGUAAAUAAGGGAGCGCUUAGUUCUGCGAGGAGACAGGAAAGGUCCCCCAGAUGAAUUAUGGAGAAAAAAAAAUCGCUGGGUAGACAUGGUCAGGGUAGGGCACAAAGCUCAAAAGGGAAAAGCAGCGCAGCAGCCACAGCAGUGUGUGAGGGGAGGGUUAAGAAAUGACGGCAGAGAGAUGGGUAAAACCCAAAUGUCAAAGGCUUCUGUGACUCACCUGGAAGUCUGUGCUUUGUCCUCAGGGGGAAUGUAGAUUUGUAAAAGUAUUUUUUUUUUUCAGUUUAUUUAUUUGGAGAGGGGGUUGGGGGAGUGCACAAGCAGGUGAGGGGCAGAGAGAAGGAGACACAGAAUCCCAAGCAGGCUCCUGGCAUCUGCUCAGAGCCAGAUGAGGGGCUUGGAGCCCAGCAACCGGGAGAUCAUCAUCUGAGCCAAGAUCAAGAAUCCCUGGCUCAACCGACUGAGGCACCCAGGUGCUCCGAUUUGUAAAAGUAGUUUAAGGCACAUGAUCAGAUUUGCAUUUGAGACCGCCUUCUGGCAACCUAGCAGGAGAAGAUUUGGGAAGGGGGCCAGAUGAGAAGCAGAGGGCCCGGGCCGGUGGGGGGGGAGGCUGGUGGAAAGCACAGGAGCUACAGGGGAGGGACCGGGCUGAGGCUGGGGCACGAGGAGAAGCAGCAGCGAGGACCACAAGCCAGGUUUCUGGCUCCGGAGACUAGGGAUGAAGGCGAAAGGAAGAGAAACAGCUGCAACCGCUUGGGCCGGGAUAUUCCGCUCUGGUUGUCUGGAGCUGCAGGGCCUGGGAGGGCUAUGAGGGCCGCUGCUCCUGAGUUGCGAGUCAGAGGUAAGGUUCUGCCCUGCAGGAGGGAAGUCCCACCUCUGAACCGUUGAUGGAGCUCUGGGAGUUGUUUCCGCCCUGGAGACAGGCAGAGUCCUCGAUCCAGCAGAUCCGUGGAGGAGUGGGAAGUGUGAGGAUAAGAAAGGGGGAGGCGGUGGGUGGGGGGGGGGUGGGCAGAAAUACUGGUGUCCUUCCUGGAGGCUUGGGAGGCGCGGGCAGACAGAAAGGGAGGCCCCUGGGGGGGGGGGGGAUGGGGGGCAAUGGUGUAGGCCUAGGCACCCCGCCCUCCCGUGGUCAGUCUGGGAGGUUCAUCCACCCGCACCCUAGGAAAUCCAAAGCUCAGCUCCGGCUCUUCCACCCUCCUCCCCACAUCAGCCCCUUCUCUACUCUCUCCUUGAAGCAGAAACCUACCCUUUUCCGAAGCCAGAUCCUCAGUGUCACCCUUGAGGCCUUAAGCCCCCCCACGACUUAAGGGAACGUUCAGUUUCUUAUUAAGCCCUUCCUUUGUCUCCGGCCCACCCUCGCCCCAGUCACUGCCUUAGUUCAAGCUUCUGACACUUUAAAAAACAAUUUUUUUUUUGCAUUUAUUUAUUUUUGAGAGACAGUGUGAGCAGGGGAGGGGCAGAGAGAGAGGGAGACACAGAAUCAGAGAAGCAGGCUGCAGGCUCCGAGCUGUCAGCACAGAGCCCCAGGUGGGGCUCGAACCGCGGAACCGCGAGAUCAUGACCUGGGUCGAAGUCGGACACUCAACUGAGCCACCCAAGCAUCCCCAAGCUUUUGGCACUUUUGGCAUGGGUUGUGGCAGUGGUUCCCAGUGGAUCUUGCCUCCCUCUAGUCUAGCUCUCAAAUUUGUUCGUCACUUCCAUGCUAAAAAUAAUACAAUGGACUCCCAUUUCCUGCCUGACCAAGUCCAAAGCCUUAGCUUGAUAUACAAGAGCUAUUUAAACAGUGCAGUGUAAGCAGCCAUCUUGCCUCAUUCUUUUGCAUAUGCACAGUGCAACGUACAAAGAAGUCUCCGGAGCCCUUGGCCACAUUCCUCCCCCUCAACCUUUCCUUAAUCCGGGAUGACAAUGGACAGUCCACCCAUCCAAGGUCAAGAGCAGAAAACGGCGCCAUGUUUUGUGGAGUUGUGAAAUCUACCGCUACCUUUCCAUCUUUGGGAAAUUUCCUGAUACUGAACUGCAGUAUAUUUUCUCUUAUCCCUACACUUUUGCAUCUACCAUUUUUUUUUUUUUUUUGUCUGCAACGACUUUCCCUUCUUCAUUUGGAUAGAUUUAUUGAAGAAAGAAUACAGAAGUAGUGAAUUCUGUACAAGAAGGGAUGUUUUGUCCAGGUGAUAGUUAACCCAAAGGUUGUUUUCUUUCUCUACCUGGUCCCAUCCAAGCCAGGAUUUAUAAAAUCCUUCCCAUGGCUAUAGUGCAGUUCAAAGAGACAGAAAGAGAGAUCAGAACAAAGAACAAAAAGUCACCUCUGGGUAACUAUUAGAGGCAGCCACUGUUUGUAGACAGUGCACUUUAGAGGAACCCAAAUCUCCUCAGAAAUAAGCUUGAUGACUUAACAAUAAAUUUUGAACAAUUGUGGACUGAGAAACUGAAAGUUCUCUGUUAUUUGAAAGAAAGCCGUGAUACAGUGAAGCGUCCUUUGCAGAGCACAGGGGUUUCAGAUGUAGAAUUUUUGUGAAGAUGAAGAAUUUGGUGCAAAUAAUGUAGCUCCAGGGCAGAGGAAAAAGAGCAUGUGCCCUGAAUCCAGAGAGACGUUUCUCUUAGCAAUAUUUGGCUAAAAGUUUUGCCGAUUCUGAGGUGAGGGAGAACGAGUAGUUUGCUGUGUGUUUUCAUGCCUUUAUAAUGGUUUAAUAAUCCAUAUACAAUCAACUUCAAAGUAAGCAUUGAUUUAGUCAUUCUCAGCUGGGGAAGCAAAUAUUAUAAACUUGAAACCCUUGGUUAAAAUUAAGAGCAACUAUCAGUCAUCAUGCUGUUUGAUAAGCCCAGGAAGAAAAGAAUCCUACAUGUCAAAUGCUUUGAAUUUUGAAAGCGCUUCACGGAUGAGAUAAGGAUAUUUACAUUCUGUGACCACAACUACAGAGCUAGCGAAGAACGCAGGUAAGAGAACAGACUAGGAGGGGAAGGGCAGUAUUGAAAUUUAAGUUUAUGCACGCAGGCUUUGUCUGCUAAUAAGUUUAUUGGAAAGGAGCUGGAAGCUUCUGCCUCAGAUUCAGUAACUAUAAAUUUCUCCCCGAGAUGGUCAUUUAAUGUUAACUACAAAAUUGCUGCUUAAUAUUCAUGGAGUGCAACCUUCCCCACUGCUGCACGUGCAAAAUAUUCUAUUAUUUCCUUAAUUCAUAUUUGUUUUGUAGGAAAUGGAAUUUGCUUACUUAAUUUGUAAAUAGAUGCAAACAGCAUUUUGUUAAUCUAUGUAAAAAUUGUUCUUGCGUUAGUUGGAAAAUCCUUUUAUCUCUGGACUUUUUUUUUUUUUUUUUUUUGUAGGUUGCAGGUACAUACCUUCCUUUAGCUGGUUUGGAGCCAAAGACAACAUGAGGGUUGGUUCCUAUAACCCACUAACUUUAACUUAUUGAGCAUUUCCUGUGUGCCAGGUGCUGUAUUGAGUGCAAUGCCCAUCACUCUGUAAUCUGGCUGUAUGAGUCCGAGUUCAGUCAAGGAAAGAGAGCAACCAUGUGAGUGUCAUGGGAUGAGGGGCUUGUUCGGAGUCGAGCUGGGGCUCAGGAUUUUCCUGAGAGCACUUGUGCGCCUUUCUUCCCAACUCCAUGUUCAAUGACUUCAUAUCGAUGGCUUGAAAAGUGGGAGUAUUCGGACCACAGAUAUCAGCAAAAGCUGCAAAUUGGGUUCUCCCUGGAAAGCAGGUUUAUUACAUACCUGUGCAAGGUGGGGAAGUGAAAGCCUGGGAGAGGGAGCUGGAGGGUUGGCGGUGUCAUUUACCGGUUGUCCUGAAGCAGUGGCCCAGAGAGGCAGUUCGGAGCUCGCAGUGAGAUCUGGGAAACUAAGCACGUCCAGUCGCUGAAGGUGGAUUGCAAGGGGAGGAUUACUUGGAGAGGACCGAGGGGAGCUACAGCCUCUGUGUGGCACCUGCGUCUGUGGUUUGCAGCCAAGCAUCUGGGGUGGGCUUGUGGCUGCUGUUGAUGAGCAGAAGCCACCAUCCGGGGGACAAGCUAGGUGUGGAGCAGAGGGAAGUCAGCACCGGCUGGGAUCCUUACUGCUGUGUCACCGUCACCAUGUCUGACUGCAGGGAAAGGUCUCCUGCCCUUCCCCUCUCUCCUGCUUCACUUCCAUCUCCCAAAUUUUGGGCAGGUUUCUCUUUUGGCCAAUCCUAACCUUGAGCCCUCUGGGAAACAGUUGUCAUCACGGUUCCCAUCUUAACCAAGUUGACAUGGCACAAUCCCACACGCUUCCUCAACGGGGGGGUGAGACGGAUAUCAUGCUCUCCAUUUUUCAGAAAAGAAAACCAAGAUCCAGUGAGGUUAUACAAACAUGUCACUAGGUCUGUUAGAUUCCGAAGCCUAUCUUCUUCAUUACCAUAGUACCCUGGGAGUGUGUUUAUUCUCAUUUUGUCUUUUUUGGCUGUUUGUAAAAUAAUGGCCCAAAUCAAAGAAUCCCUUCCCAAAAGUGCCACACGUAAACAUUUGUCAUGGGUGAACCCAUCUGACAAUUAUCAUAAGUGUUCUAGUGCCCAGGAUGACCAGGUAAGAUGAGCAUUUACAAAAAAAUGUAUGUUAACAGGGCUUACUCCAGUCUGUUAUGGUGUGUCUGGGCCUUAAUUCUGGGGAUACAAGGAUGCUGGGAUGGUGAGAUAGGAUGUCUGCCAUCAAGGAGCACACUGUCUGAGAAAAAUAGAGCAGUAAUUUUAGUUCCAGACCAUUUUAUGUACUUUUCCAGAUUUACUCAGCCCCACCUGCCCUCUUGGCCUUAGAUGGUUGCUCGGUGGACGGCCUGGCCAACACUGCCAUAGUCUGAAUGCUACCACCACCACCUGGGCUCAGCAUGGGUUUCAUUUUGUCCACCGGAGUGGGGGCCUUCGGGCUUCUCGGCUCAGAUCUGACCUGACCAAACACACAAGGCCUGUGACUUCCCUGGCACUUCUGGACUCAGAGGUAGCUGUGCAUCAUUGGCUCUGGGCUGGGCUUCUCCAGCGGCUUCCCGGAGGGACCGGAUGUCAUAACUCAGAAGUGAGUGGGGAGGUGACACAUUGGGGGGGGUGACCUUUGAGCAAUGGUAGACAAGAGUUGGAGGAUCCUGGCUGAUAUAUCCUCCUUUCCUGUCCACGUGGACUGUUCCAGGUAUAGUGGUUCCACACAGCUGACUAGGAGGGAUGGAGAGUCAUGUGACUGAAUAGCUGACUAUGUUUUCCAGGAAGAUGUGGCCAGCUCAGUAACCCACCACUUUGUUUAUGCCUGUCCUCCUUCCCUUCCUCUCUCCCCUUCUCCCUCAUGGUCGCUUCCCUGGAAUUGCACCUCUGCAAAACGUUGGCCUCUCAUCUUUGCUUCAGACUCAUCUCUAGGGAGCCUAGGCAAAGAUAAUUACCUAAAGGUAAACAAAUGCUAAAAAAAAAAUUGUGAUAAUGGCAUGUAUAAAAUACUAUUGGAGAGGGUUGCUAAAAAUAUAAAAUAUAUACAUAUAUAUGAUACAUAUAUAUGGCUAUAUAUAUAUAUAUAUAUAUAUAUAUAUAUAUUCAAAGCCCAAA